CACCCUCUCCAAGACGGCCUAGUGAUGCUUGUGUAGUGCUCGUGUAGUAGUGCUACCUUCCCUUCCCUUCGCCUCCAAGGCUCCAUUAACAAAUUCUCCCACCUCCGCCUCUCUUCCCCCCCUCGCCUUGCCGCCGGGGCUCCGCUCCGGCUACGGCGCUCUCAUGGCCGCGCAGGCGAUCCACCAGUUCGCCGAGUGCAUCACCUGCCAUGCCUGGAGCCCCGACCACUCAAUGAUUGCCUUUUGUCCAAAUAACACCGAAGUACAUAUUUAUAAGUUUUUCACAGACAAGUGGGAGAAACUACAUGUUCUUUCAAAGCAUGAUCAAAUAGUGUCUGGAAUAGACUGGAGUAGAUCUUCCAACAAAAUUGUGACAGUUUCACAUGAUAGAAAUUCAUAUGUUUGGACACAAGAAGGACAAGAUUGGGUACCUACCCUUGUUAUUCUCAAGCUAAAUCGUGCAGCUUUAUGUGUCCAGUGGAGCCCAAAAGAAAAUAAGUUUGCUGUGGGAAGUGGUGCUAAGUCUGUAUGCAUUUGCUACUAUGAACAAGAGAACAACUGGUGGAUUAGCAAAAUUAUUAGGAAGAAGCAUGAAUCUUCUGUCACUAGUGUUGCGUGGCAUCCAAACAAUAUACAUCUUGCAACAACUUCUACUGAUGGUAAAUGCAGAGUAUUCUCCACUAUCAUCAAGGGUGUAGAUACGAGGGGAGCACAAGCCGGCGCCUCUGCUGAUUGGAAAUUUGGAGAGCAAAUUGCUCAACUUGAUCUAUCAUCUACUUGGACAUUUGGUGUAAGGUGGUCACCAAGUGGGAAAACGUUGGCCUAUGCAGGGCACAGUUCCAUGAUUUAUUUCGUCGAUGAUGUUGAAGCGUCUCCUGCUGCACAAAAUUUGACCCUGCGUGAUCUGCCUCUCCGUGAUAUUCUUUUUGUUUCUGAGAAGAUGGCGAUUGGUGUUGGAUUUGACUGCAAUCCUAUGAUCUUUGCUGCAGAUGAGACAGGACUUUGGAGUUUUGUCAGAUUUUUGGAUGAAAGGAAAGUUACUCCAUCAACUUCAAAAGCCUCACAGCUUUCUGAAGCCCUUGGGAAGCUAUAUGGCCAAUCAAAGCAAGGGACAAGCAGUGACACUGUUGAACCAUCGAAGCCUCGUGGUGGUGCUCAUGAAAAUUGCAUAACUUGCAUCGUACCCUUGAGAAAAGGGAGUGAGAGUAUUGUCAAACAGUUCAGCACAUCAGGAUUGGACGGUAAGAUUGUGGUAUGGGAUCUGGAAAAUCACAUCACCAUUCCAAAAUAGUUGUGGAUGAACUCCCGUCGACGCCCGUGCGCAAUUCUUGACAGCAGACCCUGCAGGUUUUCAAAGAUCCAGGGCCAGACUCGAAAGACUCGCUCGAUGAUGGAAACUUGUGUGUAAUUUAGUGCGGAAGGGAGCAUGAAACCAGGGGCUCUUGCUGUGUGGCCUGCGGGGACCAGCUUCUAGCUGCCCUGUUCGCAGAUCCCCAUAUGCCUAUGCUGCUUAAAAAAUUGAUAGUACUCCUAUAAUAUAGCCCUAUAGAUUAUUAUUCGAGACAUUCCAUUCCGUUAGGUCGGUCGUAUUUGGCUGUCCAUGCGGCCAAGAGCUGGUGCUCGCUUUGCUUUGGUUCUAAGGAUAUCAGAAUAGUGCAGGCAACAAAAUCUACAGAUGGCUCCCUAUAGAUUUGCGUUGUGCAUGCUCACAUGGAACGAGACGGAAGUAGUUAGGGCUCGUAAGCGAUGUACAUGGUUCCUGUUUCUUUUGCAUGUCGUCCCAACAUUACUGUGAUUAA
RNA transcript from Brachypodium distachyon (stiff brome), 1799 nucleotides. It is a transcript of the gene named actin-related protein 2/3 complex subunit 1B, with no coding region annotated. The record is from RefSeq and is a predicted model, not a curated record. Lineage: Eukaryota; Viridiplantae; Streptophyta; Magnoliopsida; Poales; Poaceae. The transcript has 16 exons.